RNAcentral lists this long non-coding RNA (2422 nucleotides) under Homo sapiens (human). RNAcentral describes it as "HSALNT0385968". The record is from RNAcentral. Lineage: Eukaryota; Metazoa; Chordata; Mammalia; Primates; Hominidae.
UUUAUGUAGUGGUGGAGGGAGGAAGCAUUCUCUCUGAGAAUCAUCUUGUCAGAACCAUCUGGCUGGGGGCGGUGCACAAGAACCAUCUGCUGGGAGCCUCAUUUCCAUCCUGUUCCUUAAAUGCAAACUUUUGACGUUAUCCAUAAAUGAAGUCACACACACAAUCACUGCAAUGUGGGUACACGAAAUGUGUUAUUUUGACAAGAGUUAACAUUUAACAUACUCAAAUUCAUUUAUUUUGCAAUUGACUUAUGGUAUUUCUCCAUUUUCGAAUAUACUAGAAGUCAAAAACAGAAAAAAAAAUGAGCCUCAUGUUUUUCAACCUUCAACCUUCAAGGAUCUAGAGGGGAGGAAAUGAAAACAUCUGCCUUCAUAAAGGUGCUGCUCUUUCCUUCCAGGAUUCCCCAGGGCAUCCUUGGAGUGCCCCCAGUUUGAAUUGGAGAUAAAAGGUAUGGUCUUGUUGAAAUUGCCCCCAAAUUGAGCUGCACCUUCCAAUUGAGGCAGAAAGAAUCGCCUUUUGAUACGUUCCACAAUUGGAAUGCAAAUUCUCUCCCAUCUCCUAGACACCUGGGCCUGCCCCCAUUUUUCUUGACUGUAAUCUGUUUAGCUUGUGCAUAAAAUGGCAAAAACAAAGAGUCUUUCUGUAAAAGAAAAAGAAGAGGAAAGAAAGUAGAUUCUGUGUCCUCUUCCUUAGUCCUUGCCAAAUCUUUGCUCCCAGGCCUCGGCAGGUGGCAGUGUACAUGAGUCAUGCAGUCUAUCUUUCUGUUUUGUUUGUUAUUAACCACUGAAAUGAUGGCACCAUUCCUGGAGUUAGGCCUUCAACCAAAGAGCUGGGCCAUCCGUGGCAAUGCCUCCCAGGCUUGGGAGCUGGGAAAAGGCCCCAGGAGCUAGGGCAUCCUGAUUGUUCUUUCAAAGAAAUCCCUCUUGUUCUUAGUCAACAUGCUGGAUACCAGCUAAAAAAUGCAAAAUGAUCUUCAGGCAGGGAUGGCACAGGACCCUUGCUGAGCUGUGAAGCCUGGCUGUGAGGAUUCCUGCAUGGAAACAUCAACAUGUUGCCAGAUUGGUAUACGACUCAACACCACACUGACAUGCUGCUCCCAAACAGUGCCUUUGAAUCAAGACCCAGUCAUCGUAUUCGAAGAAAAAGGAAAUAUCCCUGACCAUGUUGGGACUUAACACUGCUUCACAGAGCUACCCAAACCAAGGAGAAUACCAACGUGAAUUGUCUUUCCACCUGUUGUGUGGGGCCAGCAAUUAUUCUUUUAGCUUGACGCGUUAACCCACCUGCUCCCUGUGGCCCUGGGAUGCUCUGCCAUCCCCCGUGGCUGCCAGUUCACUUAGGGUAGACUUAUGGCAGAGGGAUGUCAAUUUUGCUUGAACUGCUCAAUCACUGCUGACAUUUCGUUAACCACCCUAUGAACUUCUCAAGCCUGAAGUAGCAGCAACUUGUGCCCUUGAAAACUGAACAGAAAACAACUGUAUUGAUUUUCUACUAUCAACAAGAAAAAGACAAUUUCUCUUUGCUGAGAAUGUUCAUAAUGCAUUUUACACCACUUAUUCUCGGCAGUCCACCUCUUCCUGAUAUAUUGUUGGGCCUCUUUAAACCCCUGCUGCUUUAGACUCUGCUAGAAUUAACCCUGAAAUGCCAGCACCAUCUCAAGCCCUUCCAGUUCCCGGAUAGAAAUGUUCAUCAGUGCUGAAUUGACAGCCUACUUAGGCAAGGGAGCUGUGAUCAUUUAGAAAUUACAAAGGAACUCAGGCCUGGGUGAAGGGUUUGGGGUUGGGACACUAGGAAUCUCUUUUAGUAAAAUUCUCUUUUAAAAGAACAUAUCUCUUUGGUUUGUUAAAAGCACUAAUGAUGUCUAUAUGAUAUUUUGGAGAUAUAUCAGCAUAUACACUGACCAAACUGAUUGAAUAGGAAGUAAUUUUCAGUAAUUUUUACCACUCAUGCAACCAUUCUUGCUAACUCAAGACCCAAGAUUUAACUUGUGUAUGAUUAUUCCAAAUUACCAGGCCUUUCUUUUCUUUUUCAACCUGCAUUAAAAAAAAAAAAAAAAAAAAAAAAAAACUAUCAGGCAUGCCCUAAUAGUUCCAUUUUUUUUGAAAUUUCCAACAUACCAAAAAGAGACUCCAAGGAACUGAAAGAGAUUCAAGAAGCUUGAAAAAGCAAGCCUGACCCUCUGGGACAACUGUAGUGUCAAAAGCAGUCAAUAUUUAUGCCUAGCAACCUUGACAAUAUCCUUUUAAUUAAAAUCAAUGGAGAAAUAAAACAUGCAUUAGAAUGCACGUGGGAUCACUCACCUCACGAGACAGAGAAGGAAGACUCUGAUAUUAUGCACGAUGUGAUUAUGACAAGACGCUGGAUCUUCUGUAUGAGACAUGGGUUCUGGUAUUUGCAAUUAGAUCUCUUCUUUUGACGGUU